ACAAUGGUGUUUUUCAACACCACCAACUAAAGUCCUGAAAAGAUG
This is a non-coding RNA of Picea glauca (white spruce), 45 nucleotides long. Lineage: Eukaryota; Viridiplantae; Streptophyta; Pinopsida; Pinales; Pinaceae. The record is from Rfam.